This 2289-nucleotide long non-coding RNA is filed under the name Gallus gallus (chicken). RNAcentral describes it as "lncRNA (ENSGALG00010002895.1)". Lineage: Eukaryota; Metazoa; Chordata; Aves; Galliformes; Phasianidae. The record is from RNAcentral.
GAGCCACAAGAAUGAGCAACGUGAUUGACAGAAGGUUUUAAAAGAAUUGUGACAUUUUUGGCUAAAGCAAUCAUAGGAUCGCAGUGCAGUAGAAAUGGCUUUGGGAGAAAGUUGAAACCAUGCUGAACCCUCUCAUUUAUCUGCAAAAACAUAUUACUCACGUGGCAACAAUACUGACACUGUAUUGAACUGUUAUAUAGUAUCGUCCGCAAUUCAUUUUGGAUAAGAAAAGUAAAAUGUGAUUCAUCUAGUGUGCUCUGUUCCCCAAACAUAUAGUGUGCUAUCCAGUUGGUUUUUACAAUGCAAUAUAUAGGAGAUCGAAUCCCAGUGAGAUAGUUUCAUGAAUUUAUCACUUAUGGCUACAGAUAUGGUAUACUGUGGCAAUUAUCAGUUUGCAAGAAUAAGAUCUCUCUGCUUCAGAGUACCACGGUCACGACAAUGCAUCAACUAUAUGAUGACAUUACACACUUUUAUAGGCACAAUUAAAAAGACUGAAUGAGUUUGCUGAGUGUGUUCUCUGUAUGGGGUAAUGCUUAACUGUAAUAAUUAUAUAUUGAAUGAUGCAUGCGAGUUAUGUCGCGUGACCUGAUUAGUCAGAAAUAGUGUUUCCACUCUUUGGAAUGAGAUUGCUAUCAGUUGCAAUAAAACAAGCAAGACUCUACUUGAUGUGAACUGUGUGCUGCUAACAUGGUUGAGCCUUUGAACUUGUAUAUAAGACAUUUGAGAGACUAAUUCUAAGGAGCUGAAAUGGAGGUAGAGCGAACAGUUUCAGAACCUGACUGCAAUGACAGGAAUGGAGGAUGAAACACAGCGCUGUUGAGAGGAGCCUUUGUUGCAAGGAUCAGACGUGGCAGAUUCUGCAAGCCUGGCAGCCCUGGCGGCAUAGCUCUGCUGGUUUAAUUACCAGUGCUGCUCACAGGGUGGAGGAAACCUUCAUAGUAGUGGGAGAACCACAGGUCAAUCUCCUGGCUGGUCCCAAACCGGCCCAGCUCAAAUGCUUUGUCAGGUGGGUGCUAGCUGACAUCCCUUGCUACUGCUCUCCCUCUUCAGUUCAUGGAGUGCUCUGGUGGGGAAAGCAAAUCUGUUUUCUAAUGAGCAGUGACUUGCAGAGCCUUUUUAUAAUGCCAAUGACAGGGCUUUUGGCACUGUCUUCUGAUGCACCUUUUGUACACAAAAUAUCCAAUAUACAUAUGUGAUCUGGCUUUGCUUUCGCACGGAUAUGUGCAAGAGCAAGCAUGGCCAGCUCAUGUGACUCAUCAGAUGUUCUUAGCGCUCAUACAAAGAAAUUCUCUUGAGGAAGAUGGCUUUGGGUCACAUGCUCAGGUCCCAUCUUCGUAUCUCAGUUUGCCCGAGUUCAGGAGGAAAACUAUAAACCUGUGUUGGCAGAGCCUGGACCAGCUUGGUGCCAUGGCUUCGCUGUCAGCUGGGGUUGGUUGAAUUCAUGGGAUUUUAAAGAAUUUGGGUAAGUUUGCUUUUCUGUACAGAUAAUGUAUGCACUUGGUGCUUUACCUGAGGACAGCAGAAAUGAUCUGUAUAUCACUCAGAAACAACUUGUUAUGAGCAAACUUGCUUGAUUGCCGCUGUGCAUUUGAGGCUGUUGUUGUUUUAAAUUACUUUUAUUCCAGCAGCACCUCAAAGACCCUACCACAAAGAGGACAUGAUUUCCCAGCAAUAUAAAACACAAAACAGCACCUUCCCCAAACAGGUGAUGGUCUCAGUAUGUCUUGAAGGCUAAGAGAAGAUACAAGGGAGCAAAAGCACAAUGCAACAGAGCACUUGCUCACGGCGUCCAUUAGUUGAUAGGCAGGCAGGGGCAGGAUGCCAGAUUUUCUGAUGCAGUGCCACGUUCCCACUUUUCCAGUCUCCCCAGUUAUUACAUCUGCCUUUGUCUUUUCACUGUGAGGGCAGUCUAGAGAAAUCUACUGUUAUCUGAUUCAUCUUAUAUUUCUUGAUGCAGCCACUGCCCUUGCUAACACAGCGCCUGCCCUCCUGCUCUGCAGGCUUUGGAGCUGUGCUCCCGGAGUCACCCUUGAACGCGAGUGACAAGUGAGGCAUUUGUCCUAGCAGAUGGGGUACACGGAAGGCAGACCUUGGCUACAUGCAAGCUGUCCUUGUUGAAACACAUAUCAGACUGACCCUGCUCGCUGCAGGACAUCACCUGACCAAGGCCAGUCCAGAACUACUGGGAAAGAGAAGGAGCAAGUCAGAGCCAGGUCUGAACUUGUAAAACUCUAUGGCCUCUCCAGAUUGCAAGCUUGAGUGAAUGCAAUUAAAAAGAUGAUGACUAGA